Molecule: ribosomal RNA, 253 nt
Filed under: uncultured bacterium
Lineage: Bacteria
Description: partial 16S ribosomal RNA
Rfam family: Bacterial small subunit ribosomal RNA
Source: RNAcentral
UACGAAGGGGGCUAGCGUUGCUCGGAAUCACUGGGCGUAAAGGGUGCGUAGGCGGGUUUUUAAGUCAGGGGUGAAAUCCUGGAGCUCAACUCCAGAACUGCCUUUGAUACUGAGGAUCUUGAGUAUGGGAGAGGUGAGUGGAACUGCGAGUGUAGAGGUGAAAUUCGUAGAUAUUCGCAAGAACACCAGUGGCGAAGGCGGCUCACUGGCCCAUUACUGACGCUGAGGCACGAAAGCGUGGGGAGCAAACAGG